CGGGAGGCAGCAGUGGGGAAUUUUGGACAAUGGGGGCAACCCUGAUCCAGCCAUGCCGCGUGAGUGAAGAAGGCCUUCGGGUUGUAAAGCUCUUUCGGCCGGAACGAAAUCGCGUACGUGAAUAACGUGCGUGGAUGACGGUACUGGAAGAAGAAGCACCGGCUAACUACGUGCCAGCAGCCGCGGUAAUACGUAGGGUGCGAGCGUUAAUCGGAAUUACUGGGCGUAAAGCGUGCGCAGGCGGUUCUGCAAGUCAGAUGUGAAAUCCCCGGGCUUAACCUGGGAACUGCGUUUGAAACUACGGAGCUAGAGUACGGCAGAGGGGGGUGGAAUUCCACGUGUAACAGUGAAAUGCGUAGAUAUGUGGAGGAACACCGAUGGCGAAGGCAGCCCCCUGGGCCGAUACUGACGCUCAGGCACGAAAGCGUGGGGAGCAAACAGGAUUAGAUACCCUGGUAGUCCACGCCCUAAACUAUGUCAACUAGUUGUCGGGGAAGCAAUUCCUUGGUAACGAAGCUAACGCGUGAAGUUGACCGCCUGGGGAGUACGGUCGCAAGAUUAAAACUCAAAGGAAUUGACGG
Molecule: ribosomal RNA, 581 nt
Filed under: uncultured bacterium
Lineage: Bacteria
Description: bacterial SSU rRNA
Rfam family: Bacterial small subunit ribosomal RNA
Source: RNAcentral